AGUGAACGCUGGCGGUAGGCCUAACACAUGCAAGUCGAACGGCAGCACAGUAAGUGCUUGCUCUUACGGGUGGCGAGUGGCGGACGGGUGAGGAAUACAUCGGAAUCUACUUUUUCGUGGGGGCUAACGUAGGGAAACUUACGCUAAUACAGCAUACGACCUACGGGUGAAAGCAGGGGAUCUUCGGACCUUGCGCGAUUGAAUGAGCCGAUGUCGGAUUCGCUAGUUGGCGGGGUAAAGGCCCACCAAGGCGACGAUCCGAAGCUGGUCUGAGCGGAUGAUCAGCCACACGGGAACUGAGACACGGUCCCUACUCCUGCGGGAGGCAGCAGUCGGGAAUAUUAGGCAAUGGGCGCGAGCCUGAUACAGCCAUACCGCGUGGGUGAAGAAGGCGUUCGGGUGGUAAAGCCCUUUUGUUGGGAAAGAAAAGCAGCAGGUUAAUACCCCGCUAUACUGACGGUACCCAAAGAAUAAGCACCGGCUAACUUCGUG
This 492-nucleotide ribosomal RNA is filed under the name uncultured bacterium. RNAcentral describes it as "partial 16S ribosomal RNA". It matches the Rfam family "Bacterial small subunit ribosomal RNA", at positions 29 to 507 of the family's 1533-position model. The record is from RNAcentral.